UACAGAGGGGGCUAGCGUUGUUCGGAAUUACUGGGCGUAAAGCGCACGUAGGCGGCUUUGUAAGUUAGAGGUGAAAGCCCAGGGCUUAACCCUGGAAUUGCCUUUAAGACUGCAUCGCUAGAAUCGUGGAGAGGUGAGUGGAAUUCCGAGUGUAGAGGUGAAAUUCGUAGAUAUUCGGAAGAACACCAGUGGCGAAGGCGACUCACUGGACACGUAUUGACGCUGAGGUGACGAA
This 235-nucleotide ribosomal RNA is filed under the name uncultured bacterium. RNAcentral's name for it is "partial 16S ribosomal RNA". It matches the Rfam family "Bacterial small subunit ribosomal RNA", at positions 524 to 757 of the family's 1533-position model. The record is from RNAcentral.